This 315-nucleotide ribosomal RNA is filed under the name uncultured bacterium. RNAcentral describes it as "bacterial SSU rRNA". It matches the Rfam family "Bacterial small subunit ribosomal RNA", at positions 198 to 507 of the family's 1533-position model. The record is from RNAcentral.
ACUUGUAAGCUAUCGCCUGAANAGGGGUUUGCGUCUGAUUAGGUAGUUGGUGAGGUAACGGCCCACCAAGCCGACGAUCAGUAGCCGGUCUGAGAGGGAUGAACGGCCACACUGGAACCUGAGACACGGUCCAGACUCCUACGGGAGGCAGCAGUGGGGAAUCUUCCGCAAUGGGCGAAAGCCUGACGGAGCAACGCCGCGUGAGUGAUGACGGCCUUCGGGUUGUAAAGCUCUGUGAUCGGGGACGAACGGUCAGCAGACGAAUACUCUGCUGAAGUGACGGUACCCGAAUAGCAAGCCACGGCUAACUACGUG